RNAcentral lists this ribosomal RNA (519 nucleotides) under uncultured bacterium. RNAcentral describes it as "bacterial SSU rRNA". It matches the Rfam family "Bacterial small subunit ribosomal RNA", at positions 355 to 891 of the family's 1533-position model. The record is from RNAcentral.
UGGGGAAUAUUGGACAAUGGGGGCAACCCUGAUCCAGCAAUGCCGCGUGAGUGAUGAAGGCCUUAGGGUUGUAAAGCUCUUUCGGCGGGGACGAUGAUGACGGUACCCGCAGAAGAAGCCCCGGCUAACUUCGUGCCAGCAGCCGCGGUAAUACGAAGGGGGCGAGCGUUGUUCGGAAUUACUGGGCGUAAAGGGCGCGCAGGCGGCUCUGAAAGUCAGAUGUGAAAGCCCCGGGCUUAACCUGGGAACUGCAUUUGAUACUCUGGAGCUUGAGUACGGGAGAGGAGAGUGGAAUUCCCAGUGUAGAGGUGAAAUUCGUAGAUAUUGGGAAGAACACCGGUGGCGAAGGCGGCUCUCUGGACCGUAACUGACGCUGAGGCGCGAAAGCGUGGGGAGCAAACAGGAUUAGAUACCCUGGUAGUCCACGCCGUAAACGAUGUGCGCUAGACGUUGGAAGGCUUAGCCUUUCGGUGUCGCAGCUAACGCGAUAAGCGCACCGCCUGGGGAGUACGGCCGCAA